RNAcentral lists this ribosomal RNA (441 nucleotides) under uncultured bacterium. RNAcentral describes it as "partial 16S ribosomal RNA". It matches the Rfam family "Bacterial small subunit ribosomal RNA", at positions 338 to 795 of the family's 1533-position model. The record is from RNAcentral.
CCUACGGGUGGCAGCAGUGGGGGAUAUUGCACAAUGGGGGGAACCCUGAUGCAGCGACGCCGCGUGGGUGAAGGAGUAUUUCGGCAUGUAAAGCCCUAUCGGCAGGGAAGAAUUUAGACGGUACCUGACUAAGAAGCCCCGGCUAACUACGUGCCAGCAGCCGCGGUAAUACGUAGGGGGCAAGCGUUAUCCGGAUUCACUGGGUGUAAAGGGAGCGUAGACGGCCAGGCAAGCCUGGAGUGAAAGCCCGGGGCCCAACCCCGGGACUGCGCUGGGAACUGUCCGGCUGGAGUGCGGGAGGGGCAGGCGGAAUUCCUGGUGUAGCGGUGAAAUGCGUAGAUAUCAGGAGGAACACCGGCGGCGAAGGCGGCCUGCUGGACCGCGACUGACGUUGAGGCUCGAAAGCGUGGGGAGCGAACAGGAUUAGAUACCCUAGUAGUC